Molecule: small nuclear RNA, 23 nt
Filed under: Arabidopsis thaliana (thale cress)
Lineage: Eukaryota; Viridiplantae; Streptophyta; Magnoliopsida; Brassicales; Brassicaceae
Description: snRNA_00799
Source: RNAcentral
CGCUAAGAUGAGCAAGUGCAGUU